CCAGCUGGCUAUUUUUGGGAAGUCUU
This 26-nucleotide non-coding RNA is filed under the name Cricetulus griseus (Chinese hamster). The record is from RNAcentral. Lineage: Eukaryota; Metazoa; Chordata; Mammalia; Rodentia; Cricetidae.